GUCUACAGCCAUGCUACCCUGGACUAGCCUGAUCUAAAAAGCUUAGUAGGGUUAGGCCUGGUUAGUACUUGCAUGGAAGACAGCCUGGGAAUACAGAGUGCUGUAGACC
Molecule: ribosomal RNA, 109 nt
Filed under: Cebus imitator (Panamanian white-faced capuchin)
Lineage: Eukaryota; Metazoa; Chordata; Mammalia; Primates; Cebidae
Source: RNAcentral